This 329-nucleotide ribosomal RNA is filed under the name uncultured eukaryote. Its description in RNAcentral is "partial 18S ribosomal RNA". It matches the Rfam family "Eukaryotic small subunit ribosomal RNA", at positions 1470 to 1796 of the family's 1831-position model. The record is from RNAcentral.
CCCUUAGAUGUUCUGGGCUGCACGCGCGCUACACUGAUGCACUCAACGAGUUUACAACCUUAUCCGGAAGGAUUGGGUAAUCUUUUGAACGUGCAUCGUGAUGGGGAUAGAUUAUUGCAAUUAUUAAUCUUCAACGAGGAAUUCCUAGUAAGCGCAAGUCAUCAGCUUGCGCUGAUUACGUCCCUGCCCUUUGUACACACCGCCCGUCGCUCCUACCGAUUGAAUGGUCCGGUGAAGCGUUCGGACCGUGGCCUUUGGACGGUUCGCCGUCUGUUGGCUGCGGGAAGUUCGUUAAACCUUAUCAUUUAGAGGAAGGAGAAGUCGUAACA